RNAcentral lists this ribosomal RNA (356 nucleotides) under uncultured bacterium. RNAcentral describes it as "bacterial SSU rRNA". It matches the Rfam family "Bacterial small subunit ribosomal RNA", at positions 527 to 881 of the family's 1533-position model. The record is from RNAcentral.
GUAGGGGGCAAGCGUUAUCCGGAUUUACUGGGUGUAAAGGGAGCGUAGACGGUUUUGCAAGUCUGAAGUGAAAGCCCGGGGCUUAACCCCGGGACUGCUUUGGAAACUGUAGGACUAGAGUGCAGGAGAGGUAAGUGGAAUUCCUAGUGUAGCGGUGGAAUGCGUAGAUAUUAGGAGGAACAUCAGAGGCGAAGGCGACUUACUGGACUGUAACUGACGUUGAGGCUCGAAAGCGUGGGGAGCAAACAGGAUUAGAUACCCUGGUAGUCCACGCCGUAAACGAUGAUUACUAGGUGUCGGGGGACCAAGGUCCUUCGGUGCCGCCGCAAACGCAAUAAGUAAUCCACCUGGGGAGU